This is a long non-coding RNA of Entelurus aequoreus (snake pipefish), 359 nucleotides long. RefSeq lists it as uncharacterized. The record is from RefSeq and is a predicted model, not a curated record. The transcript has 3 exons. NCBI's taxonomy places the organism in Eukaryota, Metazoa, Chordata, Actinopteri, Syngnathiformes, Syngnathidae.
UAACACUUAUUUACAGCCUGGGAGGCAAUUUGACUAUAAAAAGGUUCUGCCAAAGUCACGAGAAGCUAAAAAAAAAAAAGCGCCUUGAGUGGUAGAUAUUCUCCUAUCACAUGCUAUGACAAAAUUGAAACUACAAUUGUGCGUUGACUGUGUUAGCGUAACACUGCUAAUGCACGGGCUGUGACGUCAUUCGUUGUUGUCGAAGGAAAACGUUUUACCCAGAGAAGCCUAUCUUAUUGACUUCUUUGUUAACUCCGUCAUAGAGCGCAGCCAAACCAAACUCACCCCCAGGGAAAACUGCAUCUCUUGUUUAAACAAGAUAACAGGCCCGGGGAGCUCGGAUUUGGCUCGUCCGUCUC